RNAcentral lists this long non-coding RNA (1101 nucleotides) under Macaca mulatta (Rhesus monkey). RNAcentral's name for it is "lncRNA (ENSMMUG00000059539.1)". Lineage: Eukaryota; Metazoa; Chordata; Mammalia; Primates; Cercopithecidae. The record is from RNAcentral.
UCUUUUGCGCAACAUCCUGCCUCUGAGAUCCAUGUUGCAUGUAGGGGUAGCGUGUCCUUUUUGUUCCUGUAGAAUAUUCCAUUGCGUGGGGGUCACACUACAGCUGGUUCAUCGUUCUAUCAUUGAAGCACCUCAGGGUUCCUUCUAGUCCGGAGUUUAACACGUCACACUGGGGUGAACGAUCUUGGAUGUGCCUUUUGCUGGACGUUGAAGCUCAUCUCUUCCGGAAGUCACGGAGGAGUAGCACAACCCAGUUCCGGCCGCACACAGGCUGCGGUUCGGUGAGCGCUAUGGCAGGCUUCUGGAGCGGCCACCACUUUCACUCCCAGCACAGCCCACAGGCUCUGGGUGCCCUACACCCUCAACAAAACCGCUCAUGAUUUUAAUCUUAUAGAAACGUGGGCCAGGCGCAGUAGCUCACACCUGUAAUCCCAACACUAUGGGAGGCCGAGGCAGGAGGAUCAUGAGGUCAGAAGAUCCAGACCACCCUGGCUAACACAGUGAAACCCUGUCUCUACUAAAAAUACAAAAAAUUAGCCAGGCUUGCUGGCGGGCACCUGUAGUCCCAGCUCCUCAGGAGGCUGAGGCAGGAGAAUCACUUGAACCCAGGAGGCAGAGGUUGCAGCGAGCUGAGAUCACGCCACUGCACUCCAGCCUGGGCAACACAGCGAGACUUUGUCUCAAAAAAAAAAGAAAAGAAAUGUGCCCACCCUAUCUGCUUCUGCACUUGCCUUUGUCAUUCAACAUUACAGAUGGUCUUCACCCUUUUAUUUAUAUAUGUGUAUACUCACUGGAGGUUCAUGUAUUAGCAUUUGUAACAACCACAAUGUUGCCAAUGUUGUACCAGAUUACUAUUACAAUAUUACAAUCGCCAGGCAUGGUGAGUGGGCCACGUCUGUGGUACGUCUUCCAAGGACACGAAUCCUAUCAGAUCAGGAUCCCACCCUUAUAAUCUCAUUUAACCUUAAUUCUCUAAAGGCCCUUUCUGCAAACACAGUCACAUUGGGGAUUACGGCUUCACAUACAAAUGUUAGGGGGACAGAACUCGGUCCAUAGCAUGGAGUCGCACAGUAUUUGUCCUUUUGUGAUUGGCUUGCUUUA